UUACAAGGAAGGAGUCGGUCCUCCGUUUCAGCUUUUCUCUCUAGAAGGAUUUAGCCUUGGCAUUUCUGGUGUUGUAAACGCAGGACUUAAAAAAAAGC
RNAcentral lists this long non-coding RNA (98 nucleotides) under Peromyscus maniculatus bairdii (prairie deer mouse). RNAcentral's name for it is "HOTAIR conserved region 3 (ENSPEMG00000005884.2)". It matches the Rfam family "HOTAIR conserved region 3". The record is from RNAcentral. Lineage: Eukaryota; Metazoa; Chordata; Mammalia; Rodentia; Cricetidae.